CUUCCAUUUUACAAGCUUUUACAUAACACUUAGACAAAGCUGAGACAAACAUACUUUGUUUUUUAUUUGUAUACAUGUCUUUAGUCACAUAAGUCUAGAAUGACAGCUGUAUUGUAAUAUCCUAAAAUAACAGUUGUUUGUUUAACCAGAGCUACAAAACAAAUUUAAAAUAGGUAUGAACCCUAGUUCAUAAAACCUAAUAGACACAAGAAGUUAUCUUGAUAAACAAGAUCAGAUCAAUGUUUUUAAAAAUCUUGUCCUUUUCCCUCAGUUUAAUAAAUGUAGACUUGAUUUCAGUUUCAAAUCUCCCCAAGCUACCUAAAUUGAAAAAGCUGAGCUCUAUGGAGGUCUGGAUAUGUUAGCAGAAAGACUUUCCAACCUCACACAUCUAAAUUCAAGUGGAAAUAAACUGAAAGACAUCAGCACCUUGGAACCUUUGAAAAAGUUGGAUUGUCUGAAGAGCCUGGAUCUGUUUAACUGUGAAGUCACUGAUCUGAAUGGUUACUGAGAGUGUGUUCGGACUCCUGCCCCAGCUGACCGACCUGGACGGCUACGAUGCAGAAGACGGGGAAGCCCCCUGACGCAGAUGUGGAGGUGGAUGGUGUGGAUGAAGAAGAGGAGGAGGAAGAAGGAGAAGUGAAGAAGAUGAGGAGAAUGAGGAUGGUGAGGAGGAAGAGUUUGAGGAAGAAGAUGAGGAAGAUGAGGUCAGCGGGGAGGAAGAAGAAUUUGGGCAUGAUGGAGAAGUAGAUGAAGAUGAGGAAGAGGAGGAUGAGGAUGAAGAAGAGGAAGAAAGCGAGAAAGUUGAAAAGAGGAAGAGAGAAACAGAUGAUUAAGAAGAAGAUGAUUAAGACCCAGAAAAACCGCCAAACAAAACUGUUCAGUCUUGGUUGGACUGCUCAUGGAUUUGAUAGCUGUUUAAAAAAGAAAAAAAAAAGGUAGCUGUGAUACAAACCCCAGGACGCCCACCCACCAAAGGGCCAAAGAAGAGUUCCUGUGACAUUCCGCCUUCCUCCUUUUAGUCCCUCUUGUAAUCCACCGCCAGCUUGGGGAGUUUGCGCCAACAAAAUUGUGAGCAUUGUUAGGUUUUUUGUGUAAGACUCUUGCUGUAGCACGGAGAGCUGUGAUUGGUGAGUCAACUGUCCGCAGCUACCAGUUACACUGAGAUUGUAACAGCAUUUUUACUUUCUGUACAACCAAAAAGCUUUGUAAAUAAAAUCUUAAUAUUUAAAAAAAAAUCUUGUC
Molecule: long non-coding RNA, 1242 nt
Filed under: Marmota monax (woodchuck)
Lineage: Eukaryota; Metazoa; Chordata; Mammalia; Rodentia; Sciuridae
Source: RNAcentral